UACGUAGGGUGCAAGCGUUGUCCGGAAUUAUUGGGCGUAAAGAGCUCGUAGGCGGUCUGUUGCGUCGGCUGUGAAAAACCCGGGGGCUCGACUCCGGGCCUGCAGCCGAUACGGGCAGACUAGAGUUCGGCAGGGGAGACUGGAAUUCCUGGUGUAGCGGUGAAAUGCGCAGAUAUCAGGAGGAACACCGGUGGCGAAGGCGGGUCUCUGGGGCCGAUACUGACGCUGAGGAGCGAAAGCGUGGGGGAGCGAACAGGG
This 258-nucleotide ribosomal RNA is filed under the name uncultured bacterium. RNAcentral's name for it is "partial 16S ribosomal RNA". It matches the Rfam family "Bacterial small subunit ribosomal RNA", at positions 524 to 777 of the family's 1533-position model. The record is from RNAcentral.